RNAcentral lists this ribosomal RNA (497 nucleotides) under uncultured bacterium. RNAcentral describes it as "partial 16S ribosomal RNA". It matches the Rfam family "Bacterial small subunit ribosomal RNA", at positions 28 to 507 of the family's 1533-position model. The record is from RNAcentral.
GAUGAACGCUGGCGGCGUGCCUAAUACAUGCAAGUCGAGCGAACAGACGAGGAGCUUGCUCCUUUGACGUUAGCGGCGGACGGGUGAGUAACACGUGGGUAACCUACCUAUAAGACUGGGAUAACUUCGGGAAACCGGAGCUAAUACCGGAUAAUAUUUCGAACCGCAUGGUUCGAUAGUGAAAGAUGGCUCUGCUAUCACUUAUAGAUGGACCUGCGCCGUAUUAGCUAGUUGGUAAGGUAACGGCUUACCAAGGCAACGAUACGUAGCCGACCUGAGAGGGUGAUCGGCCACACUGGAACUGAGACACGGUCCAGACUCCUACGGGAGGCAGCAGUAGGGAAUCUUCCGCAAUGGGCGAAAGCCUGACGGAGCAACGCCGCGUGAGUGAUGAAGGUCUUCGGAUCGUAAAACUCUGUUAUUAGGGAAGAACAACCGUGUAAGUAACUGUGCACGUCUUGACGGUACCUAAUCAGAAAGCCACGGCUAACUACGUG